AAACAAUGAUCCAUAAACAACUUUGUAAAUCAAAUAUUGAUUCAUUAAAUCAAUUCUCUUCACUAGAAUCAACACUAACACAAAAAAUACAAAAAAACUAACAAGAAGAGAUAGCACCAAGCUUAUCCUCAACUUAGUACUAUCACAGUCUAGUAUUUUCUUCCUCUCUCCUAUCCUCCUUAUAUUACCUCGAGAUACCAACUCCUAUACUAUGGAUGAUAAUUACUUUUCUUGACUAUUCAUCCAUUCUACCUGCUGAAC
This 261-nucleotide long non-coding RNA is filed under the name Physcomitrium patens. RNAcentral describes it as "long non-coding RNA (PPAT_LNC013172)". The record is from RNAcentral. Lineage: Eukaryota; Viridiplantae; Streptophyta; Bryopsida; Funariales; Funariaceae.